This 76-nucleotide transfer RNA is filed under the name Escherichia coli. RNAcentral describes it as "tRNA-Thr". It matches the Rfam family "tRNA". From Rfam's summary of the family: Transfer RNA (tRNA) molecules are approximately 80 nucleotides in length. The record is from RNAcentral. Lineage: Bacteria; Pseudomonadati; Pseudomonadota; Gammaproteobacteria; Enterobacterales; Enterobacteriaceae.
GCCGACUUAGCUCAGUAGGCAGAGCAACUGACUUGUAAUCAGUAGGCCACCAGUUCGACUCCGGUAGUCGGCACCA